UCAUGAAGUGAGCCUUAUGGAUAAAUUUG
This 29-nucleotide non-coding RNA is filed under the name Mus musculus (house mouse). The record is from RNAcentral. Lineage: Eukaryota; Metazoa; Chordata; Mammalia; Rodentia; Muridae.